This is a long non-coding RNA of Bolinopsis microptera, 1329 nucleotides long. RefSeq lists it as uncharacterized. The transcript has 5 exons. NCBI's taxonomy places the organism in Eukaryota, Metazoa, Ctenophora, Tentaculata, Lobata, Bolinopsidae. The record is from RefSeq and is a predicted model, not a curated record.
GACUAUAAUGUGACUAUUGCAUUGGAUAGAGUUUUCCAAUGGCAUUGUUUUCUACCUAUCUGACCUAUGUUGAGUUUCGCCAAGACUUGACGGGACCAUCACAUCUUUUGACCACCCCAAAGUCUCACUCGUUGCGCCAACACAGCAGAGAGUUUGUGAGGAGGGGCCUAUAUCCCUGAUCAGCGGCUUAUCCUUUCGUCCACCACAACACUAACUCACACAGUAACUGAUGACAAUCCUUUCCAACUAAUGCUCACUGAAUUUAUCCUCAGCGCUUCUGUUGACACAGCAUGGCACCAGGGACGGAUCCAGUGAUCCACUAACUUUUCCUAUAAGAGAUCUAGACGGACCUGAAAAAAGCACCUCCUGUAGUUCCCGCCUAAACAGUAUCGAAAGAUUGAUCUAGAAGCUUUGACAGAGUUUUAGCUCUUUAUGUCUGCCACAUUGACUUUCUGAUGAAUAAAGGAAAAAAUCGUAGGUGAUAAGGUGACGUUUGCAGAGCGGCGUCUAUUAAAUAUCAUACCUUUAUGUUUGAAGCUGAGACCGGCGAUAUUCCCAAGUAAUACGGCAGAUGAAGACACAAGUUUUAGUAAGGGAGGGCUCCUGCAGAGAUCAAUUCACGGACGCUAAUGUUGCCUUGAAUUAUAGUAUGAUAACCGACAGAGUGACGUUUGCAGAGCGGCGUCUAUUGAAUAUCAUACCUUUAUGUUUGAAGCUGAGACCGGCGAUAUUCCCAAGUAAUACGGCAGAUGAAGACACAAGUUUUAGUAAGGGAGGGCUCCUGCAGAGAUCAAUUCACGGACUCAAAUGUUGCCUUGAAUUAUAGUAUGAUAACCGACAGAGAUCAAGUCAAAGUCAGGCCUGCAGCGACGAGCCCCUUUCUUUCGGAUUGUGAAGUGUAAUGUUAAUGUUUAAUGUAGCUGUUUAACGUCGAAAAUUGUUAGUUUGUAAUUGUUUUUGAGAAGCAAAAUAAUUAAUCUGAGAAGUGUUUUCAGUUUUAUAAAGCUCAGGCAUGGGCACCGUAUUGUUUAUUUAGUUAUAUUUUAUACAAUAUCUUUGACCUUUGUCGCAUUAAGUUGUAGUACUACUACUAGUAGCGGGGUAGUACUAGUAAAUACUGAAUACUGUGUUUCGUUUAUUCUAUAAGUAUAUAAAUAUUGCAUUGUGUAUCUUUGUCGCAUAGUACAUAGUAUAAGUUGAUAAGUAGCGAGGUAGUUGAUACUGUUUCGUGAUGUAUUUUGAUCGUACAAUCUUAAUUAUUCGUAUUAUUAUACCGCAAUUCCUGUAUUUUAUCGUCUAAAAGUGAACAAUACCAAAUUAAAAUAAACA